UGGGUUGACAGUGAAGGGUGAGGAACAGCCUUGACAUUGAAAAACCGCAGGCUAUUAGCUCUAAACUUCUGCCUGGUAUAAUGGAAGGAACAUCGGUCUUGGAUUUAGACGAGGGCUUUAAUUUCAAGGAGCUCACAUUCAAAUGGAGCAGAAAGGCACUGAACCCAGAAACAAAUAAUUCUCUAGGAUGGUGGACACAUGGGAAUAAGUGAGAGGAUAACACCCAUUUUGCAGAGGAGGAGAUGGAUAUUCAGAGAGGCUGGAAGUGCAUUUGCUAAAGAACCUCACUUCUACCGAUCUCAUUUUCCACGCACUUACAAACGGACCAGAGGUUGCAAAAGUGAGUCUCUCCUCGCUUCUACCGAUCUCAUUUUCCACGCACUUACAAACGGACCAGUGGUUGCAAAAGUGAGUCUCUCCUCGCUGAACUGCUCUGUUGUUUCCAGUUUCUGAGGGGCCAUCUCGGGCAAGGCUUGGAUGGGGCAGGGCCUUCUCUAGGUCUUGGGACCGCCCCUCAUUGCAGGAGACAAAACUUCCCACAUCCCACAUCCAGGCUUCUCUGAUGUCCCCUCCCCCGCACCCAACCCGCACCCAUCUUCCCUGUUUCAACCCUCCAACUCCCCUCUCCCCAGCAUCUCCAGGGGUCUGCGUUCUCCUUCCCAGCCCUGGGAGCUUUAUUUCAAGCUGAGAUACAAUGACACAUCAUGUUCCUUUUCUCUUUCCUUCUUCUUUUUAAUAAAGC
Molecule: long non-coding RNA, 742 nt
Filed under: Homo sapiens (human)
Lineage: Eukaryota; Metazoa; Chordata; Mammalia; Primates; Hominidae
Description: HSALNT0195511
Source: RNAcentral